Molecule: non-coding RNA, 135 nt
Organism: Triticum aestivum (bread wheat)
Lineage: Eukaryota; Viridiplantae; Streptophyta; Magnoliopsida; Poales; Poaceae
Source: Rfam
CAAAUACUCCCUCCGUCCGGAAAUACUUGUCAUCAAAAUGGAUAAAAGGAAAUGUAUCUAGACGUAUUUUAGUUUUAGAUACAUCUAUUUUUAUCCAUUUUGAUGACAAGUAUUUUCGGACGGAGGGAGUAGAAA